UAAACCCAGUAAUUCUCCUCCUCCCCCUUGGUGGGGUGUCUUCGGCGGGUAUUCUUCCUACCUCGUCGUACAUCUACAUAAAAAGAGUGGUUGUUCGGCAGAGAGUUCCUCCUUGCUCCCGGCGCUCCGGCCCCCGGGGGUGUCGGAGCCCGCCGGAGGAUAACCAAACUCUGAUUUAAGGACGCUCCUUCUGAGUGGUACAAGCAACUACUCAAAACUUUUAACAAGGGAUAUCUUGGUUCUGGCAUGGAUGAAGAACGCAGCGAAAUGCGAUAAGUAAUGUGAAUUGCAGAAUUCAGUGAAUCAUGGAAUCUUUGAACGCACAUUGCGCCCGCCAGCAUUCUGGCGGGCAUGCCUGUUCGAGCGUCAUUUCAACCCUCAAGCUCUGCUUGGUGUUGGGGCCCUACAGCUGAUGUAGGCCCUCAAAGGUAGUGGCGGACCCUCCCGGAGCCUCCUUUGCGUAGUAACUUUACGUCUCGCACUGGGAUCCGGAGGGACUCUUGCCGUAAAACCCCCAAUUCUCCAAAGGUGACCUCGGAUCAGGUAGGAAUACCCGCGAACUAG
This 564-nucleotide ribosomal RNA is filed under the name Colletotrichum gloeosporioides. RNAcentral describes it as "eukaryotic LSU rRNA". The stretch from base 216 to 369 matches the Rfam family "5.8S ribosomal RNA". The record is from RNAcentral. Lineage: Eukaryota; Fungi; Ascomycota; Sordariomycetes; Glomerellales; Glomerellaceae.